This is a non-coding RNA of Lolium perenne, 1565 nucleotides long. The record is from RefSeq and is a predicted model, not a curated record. Lineage: Eukaryota; Viridiplantae; Streptophyta; Magnoliopsida; Poales; Poaceae.
UUCAGAUAUGUUUGGUUGUAAAAGGAAGGGAUGGAACCGUCCAUAGAUAACGAAUAUUCGUCCAAAAAUUAGGAUGGACAGAUCCCGUGAAAUCGACCGAACCUCCUCAUCCCACUUCUUCGCGUCACCUCUGUCUCUCUCACCUCACGCGAAACACACUCCCUCCCCGUUGGAAACCCUCUCCUCUCACCUGUAGCACAGCGGCGGCGGCGGUGGUUUCCGCGGAGAAACAGAUCGGCGGCGGCGGUGCUCGUCCUCCCCUUCAGCCAGCACGUCGCCUUGUCUCCAUCCUCCUGCGGGACGCGAGGCGCUGGUUGGUAUGGAGGGCAUGGGGUGAGGCGGAGCCAGGAGAACGAGGGCAAGGUAGGGGACGGGCCGAGCUAGAAGAAGGAGCACAAGCACGUACGACCUGCAGCACAGCAUCCACUCCUCCUUGUUGUAUUCAAUCUGAAGAUGAAAAAGAGGCAGAAGAUGUUAGUUUGGGCCGCUGCGGCAUAUAUGGCAAUAUCUAUGAUGGUCUUGAUCCUUAAUUCUAGAAAAAGGAAGAGGAAAGAACGUCUUAGCAUAUCAUAUGGGCCAAUAGAGGAGAGGGAUAGGAUGAGAAUUGAGUAUCUUAACAAUAAGAUUUGGAAGAAUGAUACAAAUUGUGUGAACAUGCUUAGACUUGGAAGAGCACCUUUCUUCAGAUUCUGCAACCUAUUUAGGACCCGUGGCUUGCUUGUUGACACUAUACACAUGUGUGUGGAGCAGCAAGUAGCAAUGUUCUUGAACACUGUUGGACAUAACCUUAGAAAUAGGCUGGUUGGCACCAAUUAUGAUAGGUCCGGUGAAACCGUUAGUAGAUAUUUUCAUACUGUCCUUCACGCCAUUGGUGAGCUACGAGAUGAAUUGAUUAGGCGACCUUCAUUGGAGACCCAAUCAAAAAUAGAAGGAAACCCACGGUGGGAUCCAUAUUUCAAGGAUUGUGUUGGAGCUAUUGAUGGUACACAUGUGCGGGCGUCCGUUACUAAGGAUAUGGAGGCAGCUUUUCGUGGUAGAAAGUCCUUCCCUUCUCAAAAUGUGCUCGUAGCCGUAGAUUUUGAUCUUCGGUUCACGUAUGUUUUGGCUGGUUGGGAGGGAACAGCACAUGAUGCGCUCGUCUUGAGAGAUGCGUUAGAAAGGCCAAAUGGUUUACGUGUCCCACAAGGUAAAUAUUGCACUUGCACUAGCACUGGACAUCAAUUCCAUGUAUUCUUAUAUAUCAAUGUCACCCACUCGUGCCUCAUAUGAUGGGAAAAUUCUACCUAGUUGAUGGUGGAUAUGGAGCCAAAAGAGGGUUUUUGCCUCCUUUUCGUGGUGUGAGGUACCAUUUGAAUGAGUGGGGAAACAAUCCAGUGCAAAAUGAAAAGGAGUUGUUCAAUCUUAGGCACUCCUCUCUUCGUGUUGGAGUAGAGCGUGGAAUUGGGUCACUCAAGCGGAGGUUCAAAGUUCUUGAUGAUGCCACUCCAUUCUUCCCCUUUGCAACCCAAGUAGAUAUCGUUGUGGCAUGUUGCAUUAUUCAUAAUUGGGUUAUAGAAGAUGGGAUU